AGCAGCCGCGGUAAUUCCAGCCCCAAUAGCGUAUAUUAAAGUUGUUGCAGUUAAAAAGCUCGUAGUUGAAUUUCGGGGUCAGUAGGUUGGUCAUGCCACUGGUAUGUACUGGUCUCACUGAUUCCUCCUUCCUGAUGAGCCGUAAUGCCAUUAAUUUGGUGUUGCGAGGAAUCUGGACUGUUACUUUGAAAAAAUUAGAGUGUUUAAAGCAGGCUAACGCUUGAAUACAUUAGCAUGGAAUAAUGAAAUAGGACGUUCGAUCUUAUUUUGUUGGUUUCUAAGAUUGACGUAAUGAUUAAUAGGGAUAGUUGGGGGCAUUAGUAUUCAAUUGUCAGAGGUGAAAUUCUUGGAUUUAUUGAAGACUAACUACUGCGAAAGCAUUUGCCAAGGAUGUUUUCAUUAAUCAAGAACGAAAGUUAGGGGAUCGAAGACGAUCAGAUACCGUCGUAGUCUUAACCAUAAACUAUGCCGACUAGGGAUCGGAUGAUGUUUAAUUUUUAAUUGACCCUAUUCGGCGUAC
RNAcentral lists this ribosomal RNA (520 nucleotides) under uncultured Glomus. Its description in RNAcentral is "SSU rRNA". It matches the Rfam family "Eukaryotic small subunit ribosomal RNA", at positions 569 to 1087 of the family's 1831-position model. Lineage: Eukaryota; Fungi; Glomeromycota; Glomeromycetes; Glomerales; Glomeraceae. The record is from RNAcentral.